Long non-coding RNA from Daphnia magna, 3209 nucleotides. RefSeq lists it as uncharacterized. The record is from RefSeq and is a predicted model, not a curated record. The transcript is spliced from 9 exons. Lineage: Eukaryota; Metazoa; Arthropoda; Branchiopoda; Diplostraca; Daphniidae.
CCCAGCGGCAAAGUUCGAAGUUAAAAUCGCGUCGUCUGCUAACUAAAAACAAACUAGGCCAGAACUCAACGGCUUAAAGCUGUAAAAAGUGACACGUAUAACGAUUCAAUGUUUUUUGUAUUAACAUCGUGGAGAAUCUCACCGAUUUGAAGGGCUGGUCCUAUCCUGAAAAAAAAGAAAAGAAAAAGAAUUGCAAGUGUAGACGCUGUACGUCACGCCAGGACAAACAAUUGCCCCACAUCGCAGACGGGCCGUGUGUUUCCUAUGGAUAUAACACGGCGUCUAUUAUCAUAGCUUUACAACACAGCCCUAAACUGUUCGCCUAAAUCUAUAUACAUUUUCGGAGAAAAAGAGAAAAAAACCGCUAGCUGCGGGAUAGUUAUGCAGAAUUGGCGUCUCCGCUGUUGUGUGCCGUUAGUUCCCCCCCACCUCCUUCAACAACAUUAGACCCGACAUGACCAUGCAUCACAUUCGGCUCUAGAGAUGAGCCCAUCACCGCCAUUUGUUUAUAAGGCUUUUCUGCAGUCCAAUAAAGAACAAAGACUUCAACAUGGCACGCAGCAAAGUUUAAGGUAAUCAGACAAAACGGUGUCAACGUAUCUCUCUCUAUCCGUGUCGUGCCGAAAAGGCUAUAAGAAGACGCUGGGAAAACGCGUUGGGUCGAGUGCAUCACGGGGGGAGGCCAAAAUAGAAGGACGUGAUGGAGAGAUACGACCGACAUCGAUGACAGCCAACGGCCACGACUGCCGUCCAAACAAAAAGCGACGAACAAAAAAGAAAGGGGGGAAAUCCAAUAGACAUCAAAGUAAAAAAGAAAAGCCAUGGAAACGUGAUCGCAGUCCAGCGAUACUAAGACCAGGCGAUCAUCGCUAUACAGACAAAUUCGUGUGUCUCUCAAUCCUGACAUGAAACAACGAUAGGAUCUACUUAAAUGGAAAGUUGUAAAUUUGCUUAAAACUUCACUGUGCGAUAUCGAUCGUGUUCUUCGAUUUUAAUGCUGAAAACAAAACAAAAAUGUGUGUUUGAUAUGUACAUUACGAUGCAUCGGAGCUAUUUACGGGCGGAUGCUUAAAUUUUUGUGACGUUCGUUUGAUUAAUGUCAUGGGCUUUGUUAAGUCAAAUUGACUUGAAGCUAAAAGAGUAUGUGAUGUUGGGUUUAUGUCAUCACUUUCAUGGGUGAUUUUCUACAUGCUGCCUAUCCUAAAAAUGAUCGCCUAUCCUCUACACUUACAGCUGUGUCCUUGCAAAUUACCUGCAGCUGUGGAAUUUCUAGAGUUGUGGAACGGUAAAUUACUAAAGAAAGGUCAUCCCUGUCUCCUGAAUGCCACAGUUUUUUGCCCCAUCCUUAUGUCAUCGUGUGACAUUCAAACGUAUCAAUUUCAGUUCUCUAUAAUCUUCCACCGCAGUCACAACGUCAAUCGUGCAAGGCUGGUACUCUAGUGACUCCCUCUGCCAUUCGUAUUUCGACUUCGUGUUGAUUUCGAUUGUGCAAAUCAACUUAAACCAGAUGCCCGUUACGCUUUUCAGCUUAAGGACAUGUUUGAUUGAAACUGACAGAACGGAAUGGAGAAGCCUUCUUGAGGCUGUUUUUGCAAAAGAGGCAAGAAUUCGCAAGAAGAUUCUUCUUCGAGAAUUGUUCUGCCCAGCAGCGUCACUCCAGCUCGUUACGGUCGGCUAGAUUUCAAAGUGAGGCUUCAACCGACUACGUCGUUGAAUGAAGGUGCAGUUCCUAUCCGCAGCCCUACAGUGUGCAAAAAUAGACAGUGGGAAAAAUCUGCUCAUUGUGCUGAUCUGCACAAUGCUGGCUUCACGUAAGUGACCUAUCAACUUAUAUCGACAUUUUGGACUACACAGUAUUAAAAGACUCUUCCCUUAUAAGGAAAUUUGUAGUUGAGGACUUUCUUUAGGUGACCCUUUAAUCACAAAUAUUUUCCUGCCUCUUGGAACGUGGAACAUAGGAUGUCUUGAUGCCAACCAAGUGUCAUUGAAAGAUUGUAAAAAGAUGGUUCAGCAGGAAAAAACCUAAAGCUGGAGGAUGAUUUGGAUUUGUUUCUUGUUACUAGUUUUGUAAACAAAGGGUAAAUUGGUAAAAUGAAACAAUACAUGACCUAUUGCUUUAGAUCUAUUGUUUUCACAAAUGGAUAUCACCCAUGGCUUUGUGGAUGGGUUGCCUUGGAAGCUGAAGAUUUUGAAUCAAUCUCCAUUUUUGAAAACAAUUUAUUUAAAGUAAUAGCAGAGUAAUAGAAAAUUCUAUUACUCUGGUAAUAGGUCACAUGUUGUUUUACUUUACCGACUUUAUCGUAUUCAACAAUUUAUUAUAAUAUAUUUAUAAUAAUUUAUUUUUCCCCCUUUAACUUGUGUAUUAGUUUGUAAAAAUAAGUCUGGCUUAAAAAGUAAGACUUAAUUACUAAAAUAGAUUUCGAUAGAUGGCAGCGCAGAUGCAGAUUGGCAGUGCAUCUAUGUUUUUUUUUGGUCCCGAUCUGGCAACGUCAAUGCAAUUAAACAUUCGUCUGCCAUCGCUUAACUGAAGGAAGCAUGGGUCACCACGAAUAAUCUUCUGAUACGUUGUCCAUUUUUUAAAAAUCUGUUAUUAUUUCAAUAUGGCUUUUCGUAAUUCCUUGGGUAUUGACACUCUCUAACCAACAAAGAAACUGCCUAUUUCACGUUACUUUUAUCAAUUUUUUCAUAGCUGUACAUUAUUUAAUUAUAGAGAACAUCUUGCCAUUCAUACGAAUGCCUUUGUCUGAUCUGAUCGUGUCAACAUGCUAAUUCCCCUUCUUGCCACUGGUCGAAGCUUUUUUGUCAAAUUUGUAUCUUUCCAUUUAAACGUAUCUCACACAAGCAUUCUGGCAUGUGUCAGGAUAUAGGUAACAGAAAUGGCAUGGUCCCCUUUGGGUGUUGAGCCUGGCCUACACCCUCCGUGUUGGAACAAAUAAUAACAUGGAGGUGGAGCAUCAAUUUUGGACUUGAUUUGUCACCAUUGGCUGAUUUGGAAAAACAGAUUGGACCAACCAUUUUAUUCCCACACUCAUUGGAAUUUUGGCAUGGUAGCUGUUGCAGGACACUCUCCUUGGUUUGUUAGUGAGGUUUCAGAAAGCAGCAUUCCAAGAGCAAGAAUCUAAUUUACUGGCUGUCAACCCAAUAUAGAUUAUUUAACUUUGUCUUCUUGCAUUGAUGGUGAAAUUGAAUAAUAUUGAAAUUUAAAAGUU